Molecule: long non-coding RNA, 655 nt
Filed under: Homo sapiens (human)
Lineage: Eukaryota; Metazoa; Chordata; Mammalia; Primates; Hominidae
Description: non-protein coding lnc-OR8A1-1:2
Source: RNAcentral
CCUAGCUCCACCAGGAAAAUGGCAGCAGAAAGUCACUCUACGGUGACAGAGUUCAUUCUCAGGAAAAAGCCAGCAAGGGCUCCAGCUCCCCCUCUUCUAGGGAUCUGUUUGAAAACCGUAGUGGGGGCCCUCAUCUUGAUCACUCUAGUUUUCCUUAAUUCUCAGCUUCACCCUCCCAUGUACUACGUCAUCAGAAAUUUAUCAUUUAUGGAUCACUGCAAUUGCUCUAUUAGUACCCCUAAAAUACUGGUGAAGUUUGUGUUAGAGAAGACCAUCAUCUCCUAUGAGGACGGCAUGUCACAGCUUUGUAGUGCUUCGUGUUUAUAUUGUCAUGGCCAAGCGUAACAUGCGGACCAGCAACUGCUGUCAUCACAUUUCAUCAAGUCAGCUCCCUGCUGGUAGUUGUAGUAUUUAUAUGGAGUUGACUGGUACAACAAUAGAUAUUUUGCCUUGUAUUAAAAUAGUACUAGUGUGAGUUAUUCAUCAGUCAUACUUCUCUCAUGCACUAGCAUCUAUGAUAUUGAUAGGACAAUUUUCUUUUUUACUUGAUGCAAUAUUGUAGUCACUAGAUUAACAGUUGUUUCCUACUCCUUUUCUCUCCAGCAUCCUCCACAUCAGCUUUACAAAGGGCAAGCUCUGGGUUUUUCCCGUAGGU